AGACAUGUACAUUUAAAUAUAAACAACGAUGUAUUCGGUAACUACAAAUGUAUUAACAAGUUUUAUUGAUAAAAUAAUAAAAAUGAAUGAAGAUCUUAUACAACGAAUCAAAAACACUUUAAUAUCAGUGAGUGAAUUUUAUGAGUGAAAUUUGAUUAAGAGAUUCUAUAAAAUGACACUGUAUUUCAAAAAAUGACACUUGUAUACUAAAAUAAAAUUUGUAAAAACGCAAUUGUAAUUAAAUGAUUUACGUGAGAUAAAUAAUGACAAUGAAUAUUUACCAAGAGAUCUUAAUUAACAAAUAUGUACAGUAUUACAUGGAACUUAUAUCCUCCAGAUGGAAAAAAAUGUAUUACAUAUCAACUUCAAAAUAUAAGGAAUUGGAAAUAUUAUUCCAAAUAUUAAAGUAAAAAAAUAUAAAACCAAUUAUAAGUGCCAAAAACAAGAUGGAUACUUCUAUUACAUUUAACAAAUGGACUACCUGGAUAUAAAGUAAUGAUUACUGGACUUAUGAUAUACAGAUGAGGUAUUAUUUUAUUAAAAGAAAGUAAAUUUAGAGAAAUUGACGGAGAAAUAAAAAAUUUAUCCGUCAUCAAUGCAUUAGAAAAUGUUCUAACUUGAACUUUAAACUGUUCAGAAAAUACAGACUUCUAUACAAUAAAGGUUAGAAGAUAAUGAAAGACCACUUGCUACAAAUGAUUUCUUUGAAGAUGAUUUUGAAAUCAAUUUGGAAGAAAUUACACAAAUUGAGCAAUGAAAUCAAGAGAUAAAUAAUAUAUGCUAUAAAUAUACUAAAUAGAUUAGAAUAAAUAGACUAACUAGAAUAACUUGUCUAGUACAAAAAAUAUUAAAUAACAAAAUUUUAUUUAUCCAAAAGAUCCAUCAAAACAGAAUGACAAACAUAAAAAGAAUAAUAUUACUGAAACUUUCGAUACAGAUUAUAGAAAGAUUUUUUGGAUUUAACGUUAAGGAAUUUUCCCAAAAAAAGGAAACAUGCAGAAACUAAUGGUGAUAUAGAACAUAAAUUAAGAAUGUGAUAUUUUAGAUUUGCCAUAAUGCAGAAAAAUUUGAACAAUUGGAUGUUUUAUUAGAAUUGAAAUUGAAACUAAAUCACAAAGUAAAAGUUGUAAACAUUACGCCGUUAAGUAAUUAAUAUAAAGGAAAUAAUUGAUAAAUUGAUGAA
Molecule: long non-coding RNA, 1183 nt
Organism: Vespa mandarinia (Asian giant hornet)
Lineage: Eukaryota; Metazoa; Arthropoda; Insecta; Hymenoptera; Vespidae
Source: RefSeq, a predicted model, not a curated record